UAAAAGUUGGAAGCUCUUUAGGGCAUUUGUAAUCUGUCUUCAAGCCUUAGUGAACACAGAGGGAAUCUAUACCACUGCUGGAGUCCCUUGGUGCUACCACAAUAAAAACAAGAGUGACUGUGGUGAGUAGAUGUGACCUGUAUUUUUAUCUAUAUUGCCACUUUUGUACUUACACUUGUAUUCAAAUUUCUCUCCUCUUUAAACAUCUCUCCCAUAGGUCAUAAUUUGUGUUUCCCCACCCUGUCCUUUACUUUGUAUCUCAAUCAUAGUAAGGUUUGUAAAAGAGUACCCUGUUGAGAGAAAUGAGAAAUAGCAUAGGCAGUUUCACUAGAACAAGGGAAUUUUGCUGCUUCAGAUACCAAGAAGCUUUGUCCAAUAAACCAAUCAGUGGCUUUAUUUCUCAAAAUGCAUAAAUGCACUGAACUCCUGAUUCCCUACCACUUAACAAGGUUGAUGAGAGUCAGCGAAAUGGCUUGUAGCUUAAUUUAUAUAUCCAGUAAUUCUGUGGCUUGUAGCUUUUAUUUAUAUAUCCAGUGAUUCCUCUGAGGACCUGAAAGGAUAGGUAGAAAUAAUAUUCACCCACCUUGCCACCUAUGUGCAUUGCCUUUUUUUUUGUUUCUUUACCCCUGCACAGCUUUUCAUUGUCUAAUAAACAUUACAGAGGUCAUUACAGAGCUUUUGUAGUUCAACUGCCAAGCCAUCUUUUCCUGUGGGAGCUGGGAGUUCUGUUAGGAAAGGUAUCUUCUACAUAUCCAGAUUCAAACGUUAUUAUCUGCUUUUAAGUUCAAGACAACAGCAAGUACAGCAAACUUAGUGCUACUAAUACAGGAUCCUUUCUUUGAAGUUUUAGCCCCAAAAGACACCGUUUCCAUUUGGCAGCAGUAGCUGAUUCACAUGUUAUCUGAAGCUAUGCUUCAUCUUCUGGGAACUGGAGGAGCCUAGAUUUGUCACUUGAAAUGUCAGCAGCUUUUUAGGUCACAAGAAUUGAAAAGGCACAGGAGCUAAAGCCAGUUCUAACUUUUAUAAUAACAGUAGCAAGAUCUCUGAAACCAGGAAGAACAGGUCUUGGGAUGUUUUAAGUGCAGAGCCAGCAUACUUUCAGCCUAUAUCUAUUAAAAAGCAUAUGCCAUUCAAACAAAAAAACACCACUGAUUUAUGCUUCUUAUUCUCCACACAGUGUCAUAUUAUUCUAAUUGUACAGUUGGCACUAUGAGAUCCAGCCAAGGCCAGUGGAAAGUUCUGCAUAGGUAUAGACACAAAGAGAAAGGGCUUGUUUCCUCCCUGAAGAGGAACCUGAUUUUAUUGUUGUGCGAGACUGGAGCUUAUCAGGUACUCAUCAUUGACAAAUAUGCCCAAAAAAAGAAUCAAAAAGAAUCAGAAUUCAGCACAGAGUGGUCUGUAAGAUAUUUUGAAAACAACCUGAGAGUGUUAUUAUUACAUCCUUAUCUCUAAAUUGGAAAGAAUUUGAGUAGAUUUGAAGGUUGGAAUAUACAGUGGAUAAAAAAUUGGUUGGACAGCUGCAACCAGAGGAUUGUGGUCAGCAGCUCUGUGUCUCAGUGGAGGCUGAUCACAAGUGGUGUCUCACAAGGGUCCACCUUGGGACCAGUGUUCUUCAACAUCCUCAUCAAUAACACAGUGGAAUUGAGCGCACCCUCAGUGAGUUUGCUGAUCACACCAAGAAGGAAGGGAUACCAUUCAAAGGGACCUAGACAAGCUUGAAAAGUGAGCCCACAUGAACCUCAUGAGAUUCAACAAAGGUGAGAGCAAGGUGUUGCAUACUGUUGGAGCAGUCUCGGGUACACAUACAUACAUACUGGGAGAAGGACUCAUUGAAAGCAACCCUGCAGAGAAGAACUUGGGGGUCCUGAUGGAGGAAAGGCUGGGCUUAAGUCAGCAGUGUGUGCUUGCAGCCCAGAAGGUCUAAUUGUAUCCUAGACUGCAUCAAAAGAGGGAUGGCCAGCAGGGCCAGUGAGGUGAUUGUUCACUACUACUGUGUGAGGCCCCAUCUGGAGUAUUGUAUUCAGGUCUAGGUGCAUGAAUGUCAUACAGCUAUAUUGGAGUGUAUCCAGAGGAGGGCCACAAAGAUGAUCAGUGGACUGGAACACCUCUCCCACAAAGACAGUCUGAGGAGCUGGGCUUGUUCAGCCUGGAGAAGAGAAGACUCCAGUAGGGAGACCUUAUUGUGGCUUUCCAAUGCUUAAAAGGAGUUUAUAAACAGGAGGGAGGCUGACUGUUAACAUGGACUAAUAGUGAUAGAGCAAGGGAGAACAGUUUUAAACUAAAAGAGGGAAUAUUUAAUUAGAUGUUGGGGGGAAAAUUUUCACUCAGAGGGUGAUGAGGCUCUAGCAUAGGCUGCCACGAGAAGCUGUGGCUCUCCAUCCCUGGAGGUAUCCAAGACCAGGUUGGAUGGGGCCCUGGGCAGCCUGAUCUAAUGGGUGGCAACUUCUCCCACAGCGUAGGACUGGAGCUAGAUGAUUUUUAAGGUUCCUUUGAACACAUGCCAUUGUAUGAUUCUAUGAUUCCAUUGUUAUAAUGCAGUCAGAAAAUUGUGUUUUGGUCAGAAUUAAGUUAAAUACAAAAUGUAAAGCAAUAGCUGCAUGUUUAUAAGCACAACCACUUAAGGGUAAUACAGAGAAUUUAAUGGAGGGACAAUUUGUGACUUAUUGUCUAUUAAAAUGGUCUUAUUUGGCCUGGUCUCAGGAAAUGUACCUUGAAUCAGACCAACGGUCUGGUGACCUCACUAACUACUGAACUGCAUGAGACAGACAUGAAGGAUUCAAAAAAAAAAAAAAAAAAAUCUGUGGAAAAUGUAGUCUGAAAGCAACACUCAAAAAACAAAGGUGAAUGAUGUGUUUUUAGAUAUAGGAGUGUAACUUUGACACAGAAUGGCAGAUGGGUAAAAGUGUUCUACCUUCAUGUGCACUGUUUGAGGAUUAAUCUCUGUAUUACAAGUGAAUUUGUGCUAGAAAAGAAAGCUUAAGAGGGAUCAUACGGUCUUGUGUUCAGAAAAUAACAGGUUUACUGUCUUAAAAAAAACAAAAACUUUUAGUGAGGUAUGUGGUUAUGAUGGCAGAUUUAGAAAAUUAUUGGUAAACUAUAAUAGAUUGUAAUUUUAAGAAUGACUGAAUAUACUUUAUUGGUGGUGUCUUCCAUUGCAUGGGCUGAAGUCUCAACCUGACUUUAAAUGUUUGUGUCUACUCAAAGUGCUCAUUAUAUUCAUUUUUUGGCACAAAAGUUGUUUUUGUUUGAAGAGAUGUGUAAAAUGUUGGGGACUAUUUUAGCUUAUUCAUUGAAUGUAGCCUUAUUUAUUUGAGAGUCUAUCUCUAUAAGCAAAUAAUUAUUCCUAUUUGAAAAUGUGAAUAGUUAACAAAAAAAUUCCACUAGUUUUUCAUUUGAGUCCUUUUUGAGGCUGCAUAAUGCAAAAUUUGGAAAAAACUUAAGUUGGACAUAUUUCAUCCAAUUUUGGAGAUGAGAUCACUUUCCCUCACAAUACUUGAAUUAAGAAGUUGAAGAUAAACCACUAGUAUGAUAAUUCUAACUAUUUUUAAUGUAUACAUAGGAAAAAAUGUCCAAAUUAGAUUUGGCAGUAUUUGUGAAGUCUGGCAGUGACAGCUGUCAAAUAGGAAAAGUAUAGUUGGGAAAAAAAACCUGGCAAAAUGAACUCCACCUCAUAGAACCAGAAGAAAGGGAGUUCAAGUCAUACAUACCUAAACUGUCCAAGGGAAUUUGUAUCAUAUUUUGGCUAGAGAACUGCCAGACAGCAUGUGCAUUUAGUCUUUUGCUUGGAGAAAAACAGCUUGACUUCUUCCUGUAACAGUACCCAAAAAAAGAUGGAGCCCCAGCUGUAAAGGUGGCCUUGUGCCAUUUAGGUUGGAGUGUGGACCCACAAACAGCAGCACUAGUGAAGAAGAUACAAGGUAUGGGUAAAUGCAGCCCUCAGAGUCUCCCUGUCACAGAACAUGUCAAUGACACUACAUCUCCUGCUUAGCUAGGAGUGCAUCCUUCCCAGUCAUACCUAUAUUAGCAACAGACAUGAACAGAAUACGUGUGUGAAGUCUGCCUUUAAACAGAUUCCUUGCAGUGAUGGAGAGGUGACGCAUCACAUCUUCUCAGUAUUUCACCCGAAAGCAGACUGAUCAGCUGAGGAAGAGAAAUGAGCAACAGUAAUUCCCCUCAGAAUAUCUGCAUCCUCUUCCCAGUACUUCCUCAUAGUCCUUGUUUGCCAUAUUUUCUUUCUGAAUACAGAACUUCAAAUAUAUGCCUGCAUAAUUCACUUUUUUGGUUACACAGCUUCCUCAGGGAUUUUUCCUACUACCCUUAUUCUGCUUUAGCAAGAAUCUUUCUGUUUCUCACACAUGUGACUAACCAAAAAAAAAAGAAAGAGCCCUUUUUCUCCAGGAAUAACAUAGAAAAAUAAAUAUAAAGCACUUCCUAGCAAUUUUGGCACAUCUAGAAUGAUCUUCAGUCUUCAGUGCAGCUCUAAAGAACUUUUAUCUACUUUUUCUUCUGACCAGUUCUAUAAGUCUACCUGAGGUACCAACUUGAGCACAUAACAGCAGUCCUAAGUGCCUCUAAAUUACCUUCAGAAAAUACCUGAGAUGCCUCUCUUCCAUUUACAUGCCUGAUUAAGUGCUUAUUUGCUAUGUAGAGCAAAGCUCUUGCUUUGAAAGUUCUGUUUACUUAACAAUUAUCUUUUUGAAAUAGAGCAAAGCGAGACAUUUCUACUCUGGUAUUUCCAAAUCCCUCCUUGGCAAUGUUAAUCAAUCCAAAACCCUUUUUCUCCUUUAAAUAGAAGGCAGAAUAUAUGAAUGCAACAAAUCAGGGUUGUUUUUGUGUUUUUUUUACUUUAUGUUGUCAUUCGAGGAGUCUCUAAAUUUCUCUUCUGUAAUACGAAGACACUGACCCCAGGCCAGCUUAGCAACUCUGCUCUACUCCAAUGAGACAAAACUGGAUUGCUGAUAGGCUCUGUAUAAAAGCAAUUCCCAGAUGAUCAGGGGCAGCUUCUGUGGCUACAACAUAUUCCCCUUUCCCAAAGACUUGGCAUAAGCAGUUCUCUGGGAGAAAGUGGAUAUGUUUCUGUCAAAUUCAUCACAAAGUCGUGGUUAAGCAGUUGGCCAUGGCUGAACAUAGUGGUUCUUUAAUUUGUCUAAAUAAAAAGUCCUUUUCUUUGCCCACUCUUUCUUACGUAAAAAAACUUUUAUUAGUUGUGUUAAUCUUCCUCUUACCAAACUCUCACUUCCUUGUGAUUUGAAGUGUAUCUCAUUGUUAACUGGUAUUUAUAUAAAUAACAAUAAAUCAGUUAGAGACUGAUCUCAGACAAGAUCACAACUGAGAUUUAAAACUCAAAAUUAUAUAACUCAGAGCAGAAUCCAAUGUUUCAAUCUCUUCUAUCCAAAAUGAUAUAAAUCUCUCAAAAUGUGGCUAAAAUUCUGCAACGUAGAGACAGCUCCAGUUCUUUCCUGUCUCUUCCUAGCUGUCUUCUUGGCCUUAAUCUCAUUGCUUUAAUUUUCUCACAUUCCAUUUCUCCAUCUUUAAAAUGGUGUUAAACUUUACACCUUUGUUAAGUAGUGUGAGAUAAACCAGUUAAAUAUUUCAGUAGUGCCUGAGUUUUAUUAGUGUGUGGCUGGUAUUGAUUUCAUUUUAUGCAAAUAUUCUUUCAUAUUAUAUGAGAUGUGUAUGGUAACUGUUGAGUCAUGGCCUGAGCCAUAGAUAGAGCACUCAGGGAAAAGAACUGGUCAGCCCUGAGAGCACAGGUGAAGACAAUUCACAUGCAUGACCAGAAGGGGUGGAGCUUGGCUGCACCUCUCUUAGGCCCCAUUUAGUGAAGCUGACUGUCACUAGGGAAGGGUCUCUUUCAGAAGGUCUUUCCUUAGUGAAGCUUUCCCUUACAAACAUAGAAUCUUCUGAUACAGAAUUACAGGUCGCAUUUGUUUGAAAGAACGUGUGGUAUGCGUGAAAGAAUGAUUCAUAGAAGGGCAGAAAAAGAAGAGAGGAAGAGAAUGCAAAAUCAGUGCGAAGUGAGCUCAGGAACAACUCUGAAAUCUAAAAAGAUGGAUUUCAAGUAAAUAUGAAUGAGAGUAGAAGUUACCUCCUGUGUAUUGGAUCUUUCCUUGAAAUGUUUUCUGUGGAUGGGGCGAUCAGGAAAGGGAUUUAUUUUAAAUCCUAGUCACACUUUGUUAGGUGCAGUCUGAGAAGCACGUAAUAUGGGAAGAGCUUCUACAUGAAUAACUAUAUAAUUACUCAGUCUCAUGUUUAAAAAUUUAAUAUUAAAAAUAGAUUAUUUCAAGUCAGAGAAAACCAUUUCAUCUUAGAGCUGUUCAUCAUGUUGGCUGAUGCAUAUUGAAACUCCUGCUCCCUACGUACAGUUUGAUACUAGCUACUGCAUUUUUCAGCUGGUGAUUAUUCAGUCAACAAUGAGAAGAGAGCUAUUAUCUAUUAUCAGGAUGGCAGUGAUGUGAUAGUAACAAUUCCGCUCAGAAAGAUUCAAGGAUUCAUCCAAAAUCAUGGAAUAGGGUAUCCUGAUCUGAAGGUGCCACAGAAAGGCGCCACCUUCAGAGUCUUUGUGGAUUUUGUGCUGAAAUAGGAUUUAUUUGUGAUCAUACAGCAAAGGCAGUGUUCUCAGAACUGUUUCUAAGAAUAGCAGGAUGAAUUCUUCAGCUGUUCUGAGUAAUUUCAGAGCAGCAUAUAUUGUGUGUUUCUCUAUCCCAUGAGAGCCUUUUGAUCGUGAAAAUACAUAAUUUUACAUCAGUGAUUUUUGGAUUCUUUUUUCAUUCAUAUUAGCUUGACUUGCUGGAGAAACUUACUUUGCUGCACAGUGUUUGAAGAAUCUCUGUGGAAUUUGGAAAGCAAUAGAUGCAUCAGCUUUAGAACUUCACAUUUCUUCACCUUAACUCUGAGCAAAUGACAAAAGACUGUGAAAAACUAAGUGGUAGACUUGAAAAUGAAGAAUCUGAGAGAAACAGCGAAGCAUCUGAACCACAAGAGAACUGUCCUCAGAAGAUUCAUUAUGAUGCUGUCAAAGCUUACUGCAUGUGUUUCAAUUGAUAUAAGUAAUCACUAGCAUCUUUAUGAGCAGCGAAGUAUAGUUAUGGCCAGCACGGGAGAUGGCAAUGAUAUGGCAGAUUGGGUUAUUCCAUAGUAAAUGUCAGCUGUCACCAGUCCUGAAAGCCAUUGAUUGGCUCUAUUACUAAUGGGAGAUAAAACAAAAAUCAACAUUAUUGACAUUAUAGGAGGAAGGAAAAAGAGUGCUGGAAAGAUUAAAGAACAAAGGAAAAGCAAUCUGAUCUAUCUGAAUCUAAGUGAAUCCGGCUGAAAUGUCCAGAGGUUUCGUCAACAGGAGAGGCUGCUUCUUUUACAUUCCGCAGCUCUUGUUUGUCCCAGGGUCAGAUAGCUUCAGGACUGCCUUAACUAAUACCUGGAACACAAGGCUGAUGGAGUAGUUUGGUUAGCAAAUAAUUGUGAAAGUAUAAAUUUCAUGUAACAAUGUUAUAUGAAAUCCUGUGAUAACGUCCCUUGCACUGUUGGCUAGGCAAGAGAUCUCAAGAAGCCUAUCUUCUAAAAGCAAAAUUGAAGAUUUACAAGCAAACACAUGCAUAUUUGGCAGUAUGAAUAUUUGUUUUAAAGUUCAGAAAUAGAAAAAAUGGCAUAAAAUAUUUUGACAAAUAUUUAUCUUAUGAAGCCAUUUAAACCACGACAUACCACAUCAACACAUCUCUGAUGGCUUCAGCAGGAACACAAGCUGAAUGUGCUGAAUGACUGUUUUGCUUAACUCCUCCUCAUGCCAGAAGAUAAAUGUACUUUCUUUUUCUGUUUUGAAACUUGAACUAUACUUACAGGAGUGCUGCUCAGAUUGUUAUCAGUUUGAAUACAGGUAAUUACUAGGUUCAUUCAGGAGGGCACAGCAGCAAGCAGACAAUAUCUCAAGACUUCAUUGGCAGGAAUCUAAAAAGACAGGAGUUUGAAGAACAUCCUCAGAACUUAUUUUCCAUUGGACAGCCUCUUGCAGCUCUUUAUGUAGUCCCUGUCCUGUAAAUAGCAAGAUUCUUUGUUGUCAGGUAAUUGAAGAAAGCAAUGGUUAUUUUAUUAGCACUCUUUCACUGGGUUUAUUGGAAUUCUAUAUACAAUAUGUCAAUCAGUUGCUGUUUCCAUUGACUUCCAAGAAAGUUUUGCUCUUUGAUUUUCUCUUGAGGCUCUUAAAACUUCUUAAUUUCCCAAAAUACUUUGCUAACCCACUUUUAGUAUUCUUACUCUUAUUAUUCUUAAUUGUUUCAUAGCCAGUCAAGAUAAAUAACAGUUCCUAGCAAUCUCAGAUAUGUAAUAUUUUCAGGUAUAUAUAUUCUCUACUAACUGUAGGAGAAUAACGUGUGGUUAACAUAUUAUAUGGAAAUAAGACGUCUGGAAUCAAUUCAUGUUCUUACCACAGAAACUUGGUGCAACCUUGGGCAAAUCACAGCAGGAAAAAAUAUACAACACAAAUCUUUAGGCAUAUGAUCUAGAUACUUCAGCAAUAAUCUAGUCUCCCAGUGCAUUUCCUGUGAGCUAUAGAUAGGGAAUCAUGUUGGUGCCUCCUUUUUCUUUCUGCAAAAGCUAUCAGGCUUCCGUUCUUUGAUUCCUUGCUAUGUGUAUAUUCAAAGCUAGCUCAGCGAGAUCCUUGAGCCCUGUAGCCGAGUUGACUCUAGCAGUAUCAAAGACUGACCAGUAGGUAUAAUUCUAUGGAAGAAAAGCAGCUGAGAAAGUUUAUUACUUUAUAAACGCUUCCUUUUUAAUAUGUUCAUGCAUAUGUAUAUCUGUGUAUGUACUUGUGCAUAUGUGCAUGGCUACACAUGUAUUUGUGAAUGGCUGUAUAGGUGUAUGAAAGAUUAAAAACAAGGCACUAUGCAGAUAUAAGGAGAUUAAUUAAGCGACAGAAGAAUUCCACAAAAAACACAGAGCAUAAUUCCCACUAAGUGUUCUGCCUUGUACUUGCCUAUAUUCUCCAUCUAGAAUGAGUAAGUGGAAACACUUCAUCAGCAUCCCAGAUUACAAGAGGAGCAGAAUGCUUAUCAACUGCCACGCAUUUCAUAAAGGGGAAGAAGCUGUUUGCUGUAGUGAAAAUCAGAAGAGGCUGAAGAGAAGCAAUCCUGUCUCUUACUCCCACACCUGCACAGUUCAGCUAUGCCGAAGCACUUUAGUCAGUCUCAAAAAAUCAAGAAUAUAAUUUUAAAUCCUAUUGUCCUCUUGCACAAAGGGGAGAUCCAGGGCUUUCAUACCAUACACAUUGCUGCUUGAUGGAAAGAACUAAAAAUAGCUUCUAAAACCUGAUUAAAUUUAUGUAUAUUUGCAAAUUGGAUUUGGUCGUUAUAUUAACAGAACAAUGCUAUUUGUAGAGCAAAUAUAUGUACUUCAUUAUUUACUGUGUAAGAUUUAAAAAAUGUAUAUUUACAGAACAUAGAAAAUAAGAGGAAAUAUUUAAGACAUUAGUAUUGUCCACGAUUCCUUUAUAACAAGGCAGGUUUUGUCCAUACUUCUUGAGAAAUGGCAUUUCCUACAAUAGUACCCACGAAGAAUAAGACCUAUUUUGCCAAGCGCUAUGGAAACAGAAUAAUCUUGAAACCAGCCCUACCUCAAACAGUUUACAAUCUAAGAAAUGAGAGAAAGCAGAUAGUAGGUGUUCGUUUAGUCUUUAUGUCUUGCCUUGUAUACUGGAACUGUAAAGAAUUAUAUAAAUUGUUGCUGGUUCUGAUGCAGUUUUGUGAUUUGCAGAUUAAACUGAAACAGUAAGGAUGGCUUCUGCCCUACUGUUCCAAGACAUGUUUGAACCUACAGAUCUGAAUAAAUCUGACAAACUCCUUUCUCACAAGGUCUUUUGACUUUCAUGGCUUUGAUUCAAACUUGGAUGGAAGUAGAGAAGCUACAGAUCUUCCAAUUGCUUCUAAACCAAAUUCUACAUUAAAUCAAGCUUCAGACUUUGAUUCUGUUCCAUAAUUACUCUGAAAAUUAGUACUAUUUAUUUGCCCUUAAAUGUUCUGAAAUCAUUAAAAUGCUCCCAUUUUAACAUUUGCUGGCAG
Molecule: long non-coding RNA, 10046 nt
Organism: Lagopus muta (rock ptarmigan)
Lineage: Eukaryota; Metazoa; Chordata; Aves; Galliformes; Phasianidae
Exons: 2
Source: RefSeq, a predicted model, not a curated record